GCGCAUGUGGCGGAAUUGGUAGACGCGCUGUCUUCAGGCGGCAGUGCCUUCGGGCGUGGAGGUUCGACUCCUCUCAUGCGCA
RNAcentral lists this transfer RNA (82 nucleotides) under Cytophagales bacterium. RNAcentral describes it as "tRNA-Leu". It matches the Rfam family "tRNA". From Rfam's summary of the family: Transfer RNA (tRNA) molecules are approximately 80 nucleotides in length. The record is from RNAcentral. Lineage: Bacteria; Pseudomonadati; Bacteroidota; Cytophagia; Cytophagales.